AAGUCGAGGGGUAACAUGGGUAGCAAUACCUGAUGACGACCGGCAAACGGGUGCGGAACACGUACGCAACCUUCCCAUAACUGGUGAAUAGCCUUCCGAAAGGGAGAUUAAUACACCGUAACAUAAUGAAGAGGCAUCUCUUUAUUAUUAUAGGCUUCGGCCGGUUUUGGAUGGGCGUGCGCCUGAUUAGGUAGUUGGCGGGGUAACGGCCCACCAAGCCUGCGAUCAGUAACUGGUGUGAGAGCACGACCAGUCACACGGGCACUGAGACACGGGCCCGACUCCUACGGGAGGCAGCAGUAAGGAAUAUUGGUCAAUGGACGAAAGUCUGAACCAGCCAUGCCGCGUGAAGGAUGAAGGCCCUCUGGGUUGUAAACUUCUUUUAUCUGGGACGAAAAAAGCUCAUUCUUGAGCACUUGACGGUACCAGAGGAAUAAGCACCGGCUAACUCCGUGCCAGCAGCCGCGGUAAUACGGAGGGUGCAAGCGUUAUCCGGAUUUACUGGGUUUAAAGGGUGCGUAGGUGGGCAGGUAAGUCAGUGGUGAAAUCUCCGGGCUUAACCCGGAAACUGCCAUUGAUACUAUCUGUCUUGAAUAUCCUGGAGGUGAGCGGAAUAUGUCAUGUAGCGGUGAAAUGCUUAGAUAUGACAUAGAACACCAAUUGCGAAGGCAGCUCACUACGGGAUCAUUGACACUGAGGCACGAAAGCGUGGGGAUCAAACAGGAUUAGAUACCCUGGUAGUCCACGCCCUAAACGAUGGAUACUCGACAUCAGCGAUACACUGUUGGUGUCUGAGCGAAAGCAUUAAG
Molecule: ribosomal RNA, 809 nt
Filed under: bacterium SCGC AAA018-C6
Lineage: Bacteria
Description: SSU rRNA
Rfam family: Bacterial small subunit ribosomal RNA
Source: RNAcentral